GAUGAAGAACGCAGCGAAAUGCGAUACGUAAUGUGAAUUGCAAAUUCAGUGAAUCAUCGAGUCUUUGAACGCACAUUGCGCCCCCUGGUAUUCCGGGGGGCAUGCCUGUCCGAGCGUCAUUGCUGCCCUCAAGCACGGCUUGUGUGUUGGGCCCCGUCCUCCGAUCCCGGGGGACGGGCCCGAAAGGCAGCGGCGGCACCGCGUCCGGUCCUCGAGCGUAUGGGGCUUUGUCACCCGCUCUGUAGGCCCGGCCGGCGCUUGCCGAUCAACCCAAAUUUUUUAUCCAGGUUGACCUCGGAUCAGGUAGGGAUACCCGCUGAACUUAAGCAUAUCAAUAAGCGGAGG
This 345-nucleotide unclassified non-coding RNA is filed under the name soil metagenome. RNAcentral's name for it is "partial contains 5.8S ribosomal RNA, internal transcribed spacer 2, and large subunit ribosomal RNA". The stretch from base 1 to 119 matches the Rfam family "5.8S ribosomal RNA", at positions 35 to 154 of the family's 154-position model. The record is from RNAcentral.